AGAGUUUGAUUAUGGCUCAGAACGAACGCUGGCGGCGCGUUUUAAGCAUGCAAGUCGAACGGUAAUAGAGUGCUUGCACUCUAUGAGAGUGGCGAACGGGUGAGUAACACGUAGAUGAUCUAUCUUUGGAUCUGGGAUAGCCUGUGGAAACACAGGGUAAUACCGGAUACGACCUUAGUGCUACGGCGCUAGGGGGAAAGUCGCUUAGGCGACGUCCGAGGCUGAGUCUGCGGCUCAUUAGCUUGUUGGUAGGGUAAUGGCCUACCAAGGCGACGAUGAGUAGCCGGCCUGAGAGGGUGAUCGGCCACACUGGGACUGAGACACGGCCCAGACUCCUACGGGAGGCAGCAGCUAAGAAUCUUCCGCAAUGGGGGAAACCCUGACGGAGCGACGCCGCGUGAACGAUGAAGGCCGGAAGGUUGUAAAGUUCUUUUCCUGGGGGAGAAUAACACCUGGAGGUAAUGCCAGGUGGAUGACGUGAACCAGGGAAUAAGCCCCGGCUAAUUACGUGCCAGCAGCCGCGGUAACACGUAAGGGGCAAGCGUUGUUCGGAUUUAUUGGGCGUAAAGGGCGUGUAGGCGGUGAGAUAAGUUUGGUGUGAAAGACCCCGGCUCAACCGGGGGAACGCGCUGAAAACUGUCUUACUAGAGUGAUGGAGGGGAAACUGGAAUUCCUGGUGUAGGGGUGAAAUCUGUAGAGAUCAGGAAGAACACCGGAGGCGAAGGCGAGUUUCUGGCCAUCUACUGACGCUGAGGCGCGAAAGCGUGGGGAGCGAACAGGAUUAGAUACCCUGGUAGUCCACGCUGUAAACGAUGUGCACUA
This 822-nucleotide ribosomal RNA is filed under the name uncultured Spirochaetota bacterium. RNAcentral describes it as "bacterial SSU rRNA". It matches the Rfam family "Bacterial small subunit ribosomal RNA", at positions 8 to 818 of the family's 1533-position model. The record is from RNAcentral. Lineage: Bacteria; Pseudomonadati; Spirochaetota.